GAGUAGAACGACUGGCCGGCGGUGCUUAACACAUGCAAGUCGAACGGAACAUUUUAUUGAGGCUUCGGCAGAUUUAGUUUGUUUCCAGUGGCGGACGGGUGAGUAACGCGUGGGUAACCUGCCUCACACUGGGGGAUAACAGUCAGAAAUGGCUGCUAAUACCGCAUGAGACCACAGCUCUGCAUGGAGCAGUGGCUAAAGGAGAAAUCCGGUGAAGGGUGGGCUCGCGUCCGAUUAGCUAGUUGGCAGGGUGAUAGCCUACCAAGGCGACGAUCGGUAGCCGACCUGAGAGGGUGAUCGGCCACAUUGGAACUGAGAUACGGUCCAA
Molecule: ribosomal RNA, 328 nt
Filed under: uncultured bacterium
Lineage: Bacteria
Description: bacterial SSU rRNA
Rfam family: Bacterial small subunit ribosomal RNA
Source: RNAcentral